RNAcentral lists this ribosomal RNA (275 nucleotides) under uncultured bacterium. RNAcentral describes it as "partial 16S ribosomal RNA". It matches the Rfam family "Bacterial small subunit ribosomal RNA", at positions 338 to 604 of the family's 1533-position model. The record is from RNAcentral.
CCUACGGGGGGCUGCAGUCGAGAAUUUUUCUCAAUGGGGGAAACCCUGAAGGAGCGACGCCGCGUGGAGGAUUGAAGGUCUUCGGAUUGUAAACUCCUGUCAUUGGCGAACAAGGUCUGCCGGUUAACUGCCGGCGGAAUUGAUAGUAGCCGAAGAGGAAGGGACGGCUAACUCUGUGCCAGCAGCCGCGGUAAUACAGAGGUCCCAAGCGUUGUUCGGAUUCAUUGGGCGUAAAGGGUGCGUAGGCGGCGGUGUAAGUCGGGUGUGAAAUCCCG